UCGUCCACCUGUUUUGGUAUUUGAUGCUAAUCUAAAUCUAGGAGAAACAUUGAGUAUAAAAACAUCUGAUGUGAGGUGUAGGGGAGGUUGAAAAUUAACCUGUCAGGUGGAGGUCACCGUGGGUUAGCCUAGCCUGCAGCAUCACUUUAGGUUAGCCUGCAGCAUCACUUUAGGUUAGCCUCCAGCAUCACUUUAGGUUAGCCUAGCCUCCAGCAUCACUUUAGGUUAGCCUAGCCUCCAGCAUCACUUUAGGUUAGCCUGCAGCAUCACUUUAGGUUAGCCUCCAGCAUCACUUUAGGUUAGCCUAGCCUCCAGCAUCACUUUAGGUCAGCCUAGCCUCCAGCAUCACUUUAGCCUAGCCUGCAGCAUCACUUUAGCCUAGCCUGCAGCAUCACUUUAGCCUAGCCUGCAGCAUCACUUUAGGUUAGCCUAGCCUGCAGCAUCACUUUAGGUUAGCCUAGCCUGCAGCAUCACUUUAGGUUAGCACUGCCUGCAGCAUCACUUUAGGUUAGCCCUGCUUGCAGCAUCACUUUAGGUUAGCCCUGCUUGCAGCAUCACUUUAGGUUAGCCCUGCUUGGGGAAAUCGUCUUUCUACAUUAGACACAUACGGAACAGGAAAACCUAGGCCAACUCCUAAACCCCACAGUUUUAAUAAGCUUCAACAGAACACCCUGUGGAAACAGAGGUCACUCAACCGCUCGUGGGCCUCACUCAGUAAGAAGACCAAGUAGUGACAGAUCAAAUCGUUAAAAAUAAAAAAGCACAAACAAUAGUCACUGGGUGUGUUGUGGGGGGGUCAAAGGGGUCAAGCGGCGAGACAGGUGUUUGAAGG
This is a long non-coding RNA of Oncorhynchus keta (chum salmon), 832 nucleotides long. RefSeq lists it as uncharacterized. Lineage: Eukaryota; Metazoa; Chordata; Actinopteri; Salmoniformes; Salmonidae. The transcript is spliced from 5 exons. The record is from RefSeq and is a predicted model, not a curated record.